CAGCUUCAUGUAGAUGUUAAACAGCAUAGGGGACAAGAUGGAACCUUGUGGGACCAUGUAGCACAAUUGCCACAGGGUCAAAUAGCAGCCCACUAGCUCCAUCUUCUGAAAGCAUCACAACAGGUUGUCUACCAGGGCGACCAAGGUGGUUUCAGUUCCAAACCCGGCCUAAAGCCAGACUGAAAUGGAUCUAAAUAAUCUGUUUCUUGCAAGAAAGCUUGGAGUUUCAAUGACACUGCCCACUCGAGUACCUUGCCCAAGAAGGGAAUAUUGGCAAUUGGGCGAUAGUUAAGGAUGGCCAUGGCAGACUUGGGAAGCAAAGACUACUUGAACUCCUGCCUCCCAGUCUCUUGUGAGGCCAGCUUGUCACUGUUGUAGAUAACUUUUCCUUU
Molecule: non-coding RNA, 392 nt
Organism: Pelodiscus sinensis (Chinese soft-shelled turtle)
Lineage: Eukaryota; Metazoa; Chordata; Testudines; Trionychidae
Source: RefSeq, a predicted model, not a curated record